Long non-coding RNA from Gopherus flavomarginatus (Mexican gopher tortoise), 289 nucleotides. RefSeq lists it as uncharacterized. The transcript has 4 exons. The record is from RefSeq and is a predicted model, not a curated record. Lineage: Eukaryota; Metazoa; Chordata; Testudines; Testudinidae.
CGAGGGCAGGGAAGUGACGGGGAUCGGACCCGCGCCCCACGCCCGGCCCGAGGGGAGGGAGUGACGGGGAUCGGACCCGCGCCCCACGCCGGCCCGAGGGCAGGGAAUGACGGGGAUCAGACCCGCGCCCCACGCCGGCCCGAGGGCAUGGAAUGACGGGGAUCGGACCCGCGCCCCACGCCGGCCCGAGGGCAGGGAAUGACGGGGAUCAGACCCGUGCCCCACGCCCGGCCCGAGGGGGGGAGUGACGGGGAUCAGACCCGUGCCCCACGCCGGCCCGAGGGGGGGA